GUUUCCGUAAGUGUAGUGGUUAUCACGUUUGCCUCACACGCGAAAGGUCCCCAGCUCGAAACUGGGCGGAAACA
This 74-nucleotide transfer RNA is filed under the name Perca flavescens (yellow perch). It matches the Rfam family "tRNA". Rfam says of the family: Transfer RNA (tRNA) molecules are approximately 80 nucleotides in length. Lineage: Eukaryota; Metazoa; Chordata; Actinopteri; Perciformes; Percidae. The record is from Rfam by way of RNAcentral.